This 7990-nucleotide long non-coding RNA is filed under the name Monomorium pharaonis (pharaoh ant). RNAcentral describes it as "uncharacterized LOC118644835". The record is from RNAcentral. Lineage: Eukaryota; Metazoa; Arthropoda; Insecta; Hymenoptera; Formicidae.
UAACAUUUACGUUUAUAUUUUUGUUUCCUUGUCUCAUCUUUAAAUACUUUAUGUGAAAUUGCUUGUGGAACUUGCAGCCAUAGAAAUAUUGAAUUUGUCUCCUGAUGUUGGCAGCCCUGAAUCUAAAUUAAACUUCAGGCGGACGAAAUAUUUAAACAAUUGAUGCACAGUGUUCGAAUUUUUUACUCAAUUCUUCAAAAUGAUGAUUCAUAAACUUUGCGUGAUAUUAACAAAUAAAAUCAAAACAAAUAACUAAACUAGUUUAUAUUUAACUAGCAUAACUGCAAAGCGAUUUAAUUUAAUGAAAAAUUAACAUUAUUAUUUUUUACCGUUGUUUUGUUUUCAAAUUGAAAUCUUUUUGUUGGCGUGAAUGAAAUUGCCAAUUAAAUUAUUUGUACGGAGCAAAGACACAUAGACUGACAUACAAAAUCUUUUAUUCAUAUAAAAGGACACUUUAUACUAGCACGUACUGUCGAACCUAGCCUAACUCCAUACAGUCGGCAUCGCCGGGACCUUUUCUCUCUCUCUCUCUCUCUCUCCUUCUCUUGGCUCUUUAUCCCGUUUAUCACAUAGUAUAAUACACGGCGAAUGAUAUCGAAUUAUAUUCCGUGUAGCACCGCGCGACUGCAAUCGUACUCACAUGCAAGGAAGAGGCAGCCGAGAAAUCCGCGAGUUCGAAUUUCUUCCGUCGACCGCGCCGCGCGCCAUCUGCCAGUGCGCGCGUAUACUGAUUCAAAAUCCUUCCGUCAGUCUAAUCGUCCUCGGUAAUCAUGCCGGAUUGCGAGGAAAUGUGUGUGAGAGUAUUGCGCGAGGAUACGGUGACAUGGCCAGACGGCGGAUAGGAAUUGACCGGUUUACAUGCAAACAUUCGUGCAUACGUACGUCUCGCUGCCUCGACCGACACCUCGUCACCUAGUUUUACAUGAGUAUUCUACGUAUAUCCAGCACGUCUUUUCCUGUCCGUCGCGCCAUUUGCUCACGAACAGGCCCUUCGAGAGCAAACCCACGGAGGAAGCGGCAAGUUUCCAGCGAGAAAUGCCACGCUCGUGUAAACACGAAGAAGGCCUCGGGAAUGCAACGACUUCUUCACGGAUAAUCCGUAAGUGGCUGUUUUGUCCGGCACGUAGCGCCCAUUCUAACGCAUUUUCGUUACACGUUUUCCUCUGCUAAAUAUUGUUUCCGCAAAAAUAGUUAUGUAGCAUUUAAGAUAUUAUCGGAGUUUAUUGAACUUCAUUUCGCAGGUAAUGGCAAUUAGAAUUCUGUUAGAUUACUCUUAUCGAAUAAAUGUGUGUUAUUGCAAUGAAAAAUUAGAAGUGCAACUGAAACUUGAAAAUUAUUUUUAAAAAUAAAUAAUUUAACUUUUUAACAUACGACGUAUAAAUAAAAGACAUCAUGAUAAAGCACAUUUAAGAAUAUAAAUUAAUAGUGUCGGCGAGGCGAUUAUGUCGAUUAGGAGUAUAUUAACCAUGUACUACCGCAUAAGAGAAGCCCAUUGAGAGUUGAUAUGCGUGGCAAAUUAUUAUCGCGGGGAGUGAUCGUUAAUCGAAGAUCACGGCGAGCGAAAUGGUGUCGCCGUCACAUUUAUUGGCAGGAAGAUCGUCACGAGUAAUCACCAAGUUUAGGGCGCGCUCAAUCGCGCCAGUUCACAUCAGGCCGCAUAAUAACAGGAAGACAUGCUACGAUCACGGUAAUUAAAACACGGCACGUUAUAAUCUUCAGCCCAUUAAAGCCCAUCAAUUACGCACACCCUACCCCCAACAAGCAGCAUCCCUGCAUGCUCGUCUGUGCGAGGCGCAUAAUUCAGGAUGAUGCUCUCGCGAUAAUGGCCGCUGGGCUGGACCAAUGAGUUGAUAGAUUCUUGGAAAGGCACGCGAUUUAAUGGACCAGACCGAAAAUUCCAACGCGAUGAAUUUUCGAUUAGAAUCUUCUUUGCAUCCCCGGAUAAUCGACCGGCCAGUUUAAUCACGUCGCGUUGCAAUGAUUCUUUUGCACAUUCUCUCUCGAUCGUGGGCAAAAUUUCAACCGGUUACGCGUUACGGCAAUUCGUGCCGAUGAAUAUGUAACGCGCCACUAUAAUUACGGCGGAACACAAUAUCUUCGAUCUGAGAUUCUGAGCGUUCCUCUGUGCAACGGUAUCCACUUAAUUAUCGUAGAAACAUAAUCGUGGCCGUUUAAUCAAACGUAUAUGUAAUAUCGCCAGCGGAGGAACCAUCCUACAUCUUCCUACUAACAGUAACCCCCCGGCGGAAUGAAAUACGAUUAAUCCCACGUAUUCUAUUUUACGCUCGUCUUGACGAAUGGAGUCCCAAUAACGAUAAACGAAUGAUAUACUGCGCGGUAAAUACAAUGAGUAAUCUCUAUCUUCAAGCCCAACGGAGAGACAAUGCAAUCCGGAACCAACUCGAACCAGCCAAAUGAAGGCGUGGUGGCUCAAUAAACUGCCCUAAUAUAACAUGUACGUUUCGAGGCACCUGAAAAAGCAGACCGAUGCACCCUUUGCUCAUCUCCAUUCUUAUUGAUCCUUUCAAAAAAAAAAAAAAGAAACUGACGUGUCCGGGCGUAAAAGUAAAAGGAGCCGCGACACUUCGCGUUGCGGGCUCGCUAUCUUUUCGUUUCGUUAGUCGUUCGCAGAUUUCUUUUCGGAGAUGACGGAGAGGAUCAUCCUCGGAGCCUAAUCAAACGUCGCAAAAGAUGUGUACUGGCUAAUGCCCGAUUAUGCCUGCACCGGCUGUGUGUGUGUGUGUGUCGGUGCAGCUCUUUCUCUCUUCCUUCCUCUACGCGUUUUCUGCUAAGAGCAGGUUCGUCCGCUAUCCACCGCCGCCACCGCCGCCGCGAUAUUAUUGGUUGCCGUAGUCUAGCUACAAUCUCAAGGAGCGGCGGAAAUCGCCCGUUAUGAGGAGCACCGGUGAUUAAUUAUUAUGCAAACUAGCGGUACCGACAUUCCCCGUCCUUUCGCGUAUCCAGGUAGGAGAGGAUGCCAACGCCGCGGCUGCUCGGUAUUCCAACUCGCAUCACCAUUCGCGGCGGCCGAGCUGCGCUAUACGCGCGCGAGCUUUCAUCGUCCGAUCGGCCGACGCGAUCACCAUCAAUCCAUCGCGUGAUGCCCCUCUGUGAUUAGGCGUCGUUUCGCACCUAUCAAAUGAGAAGCUCCGGGCCGCGAGGCCCGCGAGGAUCGCAAAUUGGCCCUAAUAACGUGGCGCGGCAAAAUGAUAUGAUAAUUGUCUCUCGCCGGGCAAAAACAACACAUAUUAAGUAUAUGUAAAUAGGAUUGUCGGUGGCACCGCUAUAUCGAGAGAAUUCGCCGUCGUCACUUAUUUAGAUUGGGUGACGCGAGGUACGACGGAGCACGCGAUCGGAUGUACAUUCCGGAAGACAGAAUUCACUUUAUAAGAGCGCUCUACCAUUUUGCGAUACACUUAUAAAUACGCAAAAUAACUUGGAAUGGCAAACUUGCACUUGCAUUGUUCGUACAUCGAAUAUACGUAGCCUUGCAAGGUAUGAUGGAUUAUCUUGUAGUAUUCUUUUGCGCGCGCGCGCGCGAGAGAGAGAGAGUAUCUUAACUUCUCAGCAAAAUACAGUGGGAGGACCAAACAGAAAAAGUACCGAGAAACAUGAAGCGCGAAUGACCGCGGGUAAGUAAUCGCAAAUAUUUGCCGACACGCCGCGCGCCGCUCGCGAAUCGCCGUGGGAUCGAAUGCGGAAACUGUCGGCCGCCGUACGUACGCCUCUGAUUUAUGCGACAAAUAAUUGCCAAAUAUAAUGAGCCGACGUGACAUAAACAUGUCUCCCCCCGUACGGUGCGAUAAUUAUCAGCAGAUGUCGAUAGCGUCGCGAUGCGGAGGCAUAUGCGGGCUCCGUGGAGCGCGUCCCAUAAUUCUCGAGAAAACAGUAAAAGCAGCCCGCGCGAGCCGGACGCGCCUAUGGUUAUUACCGCGAUAAUUUUCCAGACGAGCAAAUUCAUGGGCUCCCUCUCAGCUGCUAAUCCCACCGCGGCUUAUCCAAUAUAUUUUUCGAGCGCUCAUAAUUAGUAUUCUCGGCCGCAGAAUCUGGAAGUCUGGUUACAUUUCGUGCGGCGGGAUACGCCGUCGUUAGCACGGCGGCCAGCUUUUAAGGCUUCUACGCUCUUAUCCUGCUACCUCCCUUAAACACAGCCUAUGUCGGGUAUGCCGGGCCGGUUACGCCCAGCAGAAGCGCAGAAUCUCAUGCAAAUACGCCGCGGUGCAUCGCAUGUAUAUGGGGGGAGGGGGGGGAGGGGAGCAGAGGGAAGGGGAGGAGGGUUUUGAAGUAAUUACAAUAAUAAUGGCAGUCAUAACAGCGUGUCCGCCUUGCGACGAGCGGACGACGGUGAGCGAGCGAGUCGCCGCGCGUGGGAGCAGGAGCCUUUUUUCCCUUCGCCCUCGAUGUGCCUGUGUACACAUCGGGAAACUCUCCGACGCACUCUCGGCGUUCAUCGCGCGCGGCGCGAGGCGUUCGGACGCUGUUUGCCUUACGUUUACACGGAAUCCCUGAAACACAGCCGAGUUUUGCUUUGGGCGCGGCAGCGCGGAGCUGGUGUCGUGUACCGCAUAUGAACCGGAAAAGCGGAGUCCUUUAACGAGUAGAGGGGAGGGGAGGGGUGGGAGGUGCCACGCACCACUUAGCGGGGGAUCGACGCUGGGCAAACAACACCAACGCGCCAUGGGAAAGUCUUUCGGAUUUCAGCCGCACAGUGGUAAUGUGUUCAGCGCCGACAAACGUCUUUCUUCCUUCCUUCCUUAUCCUUUCCCGAUUGCAGAUGGGGAUUUGAUAAAGCGCUGCCUGCUCAGCGGAAGGUUUACGAGAACACACGUAUGCACGAUAAUUACGGAUUUGUCGAAUGCCAUUUCCACGGUAAAUGAUUCGGAAAAUCCCACGAAGGGGGUGACCUCGCCGCUCAGAUUUCCGCGUAAUGCCGAGGUGAAGGAACCAUAAUGACGGGACAGCGUGAGGGCAGGAGGCGCGUUUGAAGAAACGGUGAUUCUGUUCCCCUGCUAGGAGGAGGAGACACGCGCACAUCUGCGCGGCUGCCUGAGCUUUACCGAAGUAACACGCUCGAUGGCCUUAGCGAGUCACGAUAGUGAUUUCUUAUACGAGGUUUCCAGAUCGACCGACACGACGUCCCGACUAGGAAACUAGUACAAGGAAGUGCAGGACGAUCGCCGCAGAACGAUUCUUAACUUCUUGGAAGCGCUCACGGGUGUGUACGUGUGUGAUAUAGUCCGCGGAACGUGUCGCGACUUUUAUUAACUUUUCUAAAUCGUGAACCUCUGCUCACAUAACGGAAGAUCAAAUUGCUCUUCAAGACAUUAUUUUAUAUCGUUCUUUUAGAUUUAUUUUGUUAACGGCAAACAGGAUUUUAAAAUGACAGUGUAAAAACGGACGAUACGAUCGAAAUGCGCGAGGGGCGAGCGAGCGUUUUCUUUCAUUAUAAAAACGAGAAUAAUUAAGAAUGAGUUUGAGAAGGAGUGAAUCGCGCUGAAAGACACAACCACAUGUGCAGCCUCAGGUGUUGAAGGAUCGAUGAAGUAAAAGAGCGUGACGACCAUGCACCGCUCGUGCUCAAGGCACACAACGGAACGUCACCGCGUGACCUAUGCCCAGGUGCAGGGGAACACCUUCGCUUCUCUCUCUCCGUAUAAAUAAAUAGUGCACUAGAGAGGCUGCCAAUGCACUCGGCUACACGCCAGUAAAGAUCACCUUCUUGACCAGGGGGACAAAGCGCACGGGAAAUAAUGUAACGAACCGGAUGCGAGGCCGCGCAGAGUGGCCACUAGGGGCAACCACCCAGCGUCAGUUGCCAGUGGAGUUGUCUUACCCGAUGUAGACGGGAGAUACGAUCUUCGCCGACUUCUGACCGACGGUUGCGGGCCCAUAUAGCCUCCGAGGCGAGCUCGCGGGACGACAAAUCCUGUCGACGAGGCUCGUACGCUGUCAGCCUCGGAACGACGAUAAUCGCCGCAGGGGACACCCACGAAACGACACGUCGUUAAGCCGAGCGGCGCGAAGUAGCACGUGAAGUUGCUUCGUGACAGACUGUUUUAUCUCGGCCAGUCCUUGUCCCACUGAUGCGCUGGCUUAUAGCUACUCAAUAUGCUAAUCACGAAGAAAAUUAAAUCCAUAUCGCGUUCUCGAUAAAAAUCAGCGAAAGUAUGCUUGAUAGUCUAUCGUUGCUAGAGAUAUAUAGCCCGGAUGAUUUAACGAUUAUUGUGGGUAUCUUUAUGACGAUUGCCGAUAUCUCAGAAGAUUGGACCGUCUAAUGCCGCAAGCUCGAGAGCAAUCGCUAGGUAUAUCCUCAAUGAUCCUCAAUUAUGACGAGGGAUCAUUGCUGUGAUAUGUACCUACGGUUACUGAGUGCGUGCCUGCAAUUGAAAACAGACCAAUUACACUGAUAUCAUGGCAACGUUUGGAUCAGCGCGAUGCGGUUCGGUAUCUCGAAGUCGGGAGUCUCGCGUCGCCCUCCACGACGACGAUACGUCGAGACCCGGAAGAGUCCCUCCUCGCGAAUCUUUCCACAAUUCCUUCAAUAUCCUUCCGAGCCGCGGAAACCCCACCGAGUGCCAGCCGGCAUUGCUCCGCACUCCAUGACCGUCAGCUGGACUCGGUCUACUCCGGGGAAAGGGCUAGAAAAUGUAGCGAAACGAAACGAAAUAGAACAAAACAUGCGAAAUAAAGUCAGAGAACAGGUCGAUGCGAUGUAGCGCAGCGAAGGACAAGGAAACGAAGGGAAGAGCAAACGAGAGAAGAAGGCGAGCUGCUGCUAUUCUUCAUACGUUCGAGAUAGAACGAUCGAGGAGGAGCCGCAGUCUGUUACUAUCUUAUUACAAGGCUCCGUAAAUGGUCUUCAUCAAGGUAAGAUCGUAUUCCACUAGGCCGGCGUUUCCUCCCGUCGCUCCCUCUCCUUUCCUUCUCGCCCUUCUCUUUCCCUGCCCCCUUUUCCUCGUUCUUUUUUUUCCUCUCUUUUCUUCCUACCUCUCCGCUCCUCCUUCGCGUCGUCCGCCGCGGCGGCGAAGCAGUCGGCGAAACCGUGGAGGCUCUUCUCUCGCCAAUGAGAGGCAGAGAAUGAGAAGGUGAGAUUCUUCGACGUUAUUAAUCUCGGAAUGGCCGUCACGCGCAACGGUCGUGGCUUCGUCGCGUACCAGAAAUAAAUUAAUCGAGGGUACCAACGCCACGAGUUCCCGCGUUCGUUCUUCACGAUCGAGUGACUUUCGCCUGUACGCCACACGCGGACGAUUAACGAUUCUGCUCGUUAAGCGACAGUUUCUUUUUCCGCGGGAACGGGCAAUCUGCUCGAGAAGGUUAAACGUAAGGGGUCGCAGCGAAGGCCCUUACGCUUCGCCGAAGACAAAUGGUUCCGAUAAGGUCCGAACGUAAGGCGAGCUGCGUCGCAAACGUCUUCGUCAAAGAUCACGAGGACGGUGCAAUCAAUAAUUGUAAUCGACAAAAGGAAGAAAAUUAUCCGACACGAAUUAUUCGCAAAUGGUAUUUCAGAUGAUCAGUUCUUCGACAAAUUUAGAACUGCCCUUUCCUUGAAAAACUAUUAUUAUUUGCUAGAUCUCUUUAAUUAAACCACGAAUAAUUUUCUCUUAUUUAUACUUAUACUUCUGAAACUUAACGAAAGAAACUUGAUGAGUUUCUCGUUUUCAAUCUGUAAAUGGCGAGUCGUUACGGAAGAAAAUAGAACGUGACCGAGCGUUACAUCAUUUUCGAUUAGCUCGCUCUCCGGGAUAUCUAUCUCGGUUGCCUCGCGAGGGAUAAUCGUGCGAAUAUUCUGACAACAAUCGUAGGAAGUUGUGGGUAGGCGAGGACCACGAGCGUUUAGGAGUGACAGCGCUCAGCGGGGAUUUCCCGUGCGUCACAGUCACGCUCUACUUUUUCAGAUUAAAUUUGUAUUUUUUUUUCUGGGUUUUUUUUUCUAUUUGUCGCAUUUCUUCGGGGUAUCAGCCCACGCGUAUCGGACGCCGCGAUCGUGCCA